RNAcentral lists this ribosomal RNA (420 nucleotides) under uncultured Pelagibacteraceae bacterium. RNAcentral describes it as "bacterial SSU rRNA". It matches the Rfam family "Bacterial small subunit ribosomal RNA", at positions 628 to 1050 of the family's 1533-position model. The record is from RNAcentral. Lineage: Bacteria; Pseudomonadati; Pseudomonadota; Alphaproteobacteria; Candidatus Pelagibacterales; Candidatus Pelagibacteraceae.
AAAAACUUUUCAGCUAGAGUAUGAUAGAGGAAAGCAGAAUUUCUAGUGUAGAGGUGAAAUUCGUAGAUAUUAGAAAGAAUACCAAUUGCGAAGGCAGCUUUCUGGAUCAUUACUGACACUGAGGAACGAAAGCAUGGGUAGCGAAGAGGAUUAGAUACCCUCGUAGUCCAUGCCGUAAACGAUGUGUGUUAGACGUUGGAAAUUUAUUUUCAGUGUCGCAGGGAAACCGAUAAACACACCGCCUGGGGAGUACGACCGCAAGGUUAAAACUCAAAUGAAUUGACGGGGACCCGCACAAGUAGUGGAGCAUGUGGUUUAAUUCGAAGCAACGCGCAGAACCUUACCAACCCUUGACAUCCUAGGACCACCCGAGAGAUCGGGCUUUCACUUCGGUGACCUAGUGACAGGUGCUGCAUGGCU